UCGCAUCGCGACACGUGGCCCUCUCACUUACCUCGCGGACACGCGAUCAUCUCUUUGGUGGCCGAAACCCUAACGUUCGAACGUUAGAGGGUUGUUGUUUCGGUGGCGGAGGGGAGCUGCGCCUGGACGCGGAUGAUGCCGUGCUGCCCGCCGAUCGCGGCCGUUCCAAUGGGGCCCCGGAGCAACGAAUGCUUUGAGAUGAGGUGGAGCAACUCAUCGCUUUUAAGAUUCUUCUGGGUGCUCUGAGAAUGAGGAUGAGAUUGCAUAGAUCGCCUCUUGUGGACCCUUACUUUCAGGAGCCUCAUGCAGGUCAUGCCGUUUCCUAAUGUUUUAAUAUUUUCAUUGUUAGAAAAUUGAUCUCUAUGUUCUUCAGAUCUUUGAAGCAAAAAUUUUGUGCUUCCAAAGUUUUUAUUGAUCAAAAUCACUACAAUAGAACAGGUUGCUUCACCCCAAAUCAUUAAGCUAUGAUGCAAACACUAAUCAUUUGCUCUUAGACCCUGUUCUAGCAAUUGCUGCAUGAUAUGGCAUUGGUUUAUGAAACUUAAUUGAAACACAUGACAAAGGCCUGAUACUGAUGUUGUUUAUAGUUUAUUUUUUGUAUAAUAAGACAUGCUUGAAACUUUUCAAAGUUCUUUCAAACUUAUAAUCAUGUUAUGAUGUUUUGGUUGGUCUUCUACAGUGACUAAUUCUGUCCAUUAUUAUGUGCAACGAUUUUUUUUUUUGUUUGGAACAAAUGAAAAGUCUUUUUUUCUUAUGAAAGCAUGUGACUAGAAGAAGCCUAAAGGAGCCUUAACUUGUUCACAAUCUUAAAACUUGUAAACUAUCUUGUAAUUUCAGGAAGCAUUUCUUCAGCUUUGGACUUGCCAUGACCACAAUCUCACAAACAACCUGCACUAUUUAGGGCACAUGGUUCGAGAAAUCAUACACAAAUAUUGUCCUCAUUUUCCAAUUAGGCUUCCAAGCAUCAUCAUCUUCUUUGUCCACAUAUUCUUGUAGUGAUAUUAAGGUGCUUGACACCUCUAAGAUGGUGCCAAAUUAAGAAAUCCAAUGCUGAAUCCCAACAUGUCUGAUGACGGUGGUUGGUAGCCACUGCACUGGCUUUUGCUGAAGUAGUUACUUCUCCCACAGCAAGGGACAUUGAUCUUCUGUGUGCGAACAAGCACAUUUGAGUUGUGGAGAACACAAAUGGAUUGAAGAACGCUAUUUGGUUUAUGUAAGUGUCAAAACCUAUUGGCUCUCCUAGAAGGUGGAUGAGUCUAGCCUUAGAAACGCUAGACUCUUUUUCUAAUGUUUAGCACCUGGUGAGAAAAUGGGUUAUCGGGGACAAUAAAUGGGAUGAAUGAGACUUUAUAUUAAUUCACAACUUUAAAUGGGCUAUUUUCGCUUGGGUUUAUGGGUUAAAAGUACGUUGAUUGGGUAUUCUAAUUCUUUGUAACUCAUUUCCACAUAUUAAACCUCCAAAUGCAGUUUAGCUGCCUCAACCAAAUCGUACCUUGGUACAACUGGAUACGGACCUGAAAGAGAUCAACUGAUUUGAACAGCUUCAGCUCAGUUAUGUCUUUCCUAUUAUUUUAAUUUGUAAACUUCUCUAAAAAUGUUGUUUAGUUCAGUUUGUUUUCAUAUUCUGGGAAUAAAAUAAGUUUUCUUUGAUUUGGAAUUUUGCCUUUAAAUCAAACCAAAUCCAGCUGCAUGCACCCAUAGUAAGGUUUCCUCUGUUGGUAUAUUAACUUUUGGGCUUAAAGCCUGUUUGCUCCAUGAUUAAAAGGAUCAGCCCAUAGUACUCAGUUCUCAUCUAAUAGGCAGGAUUGUUUCUUAGGGCAUCGUUGUCAAUGUUUGCUGCAUCAUAAUCAUGCUAUAUUUAUUUGUUUCCUUCAGGGUUGAAGAUGGAUCAGAUAUGGAUUGAUUGGAGAAAACUUAUUCAUAUCCACUUUUUAUUACUGUAUUCAAACUGAGUUAUGGGUCUUUCAUGGGUGCUAACUUAUGCAGCUAUAUGUAAAACGGAAGAUAAAAAGAGAAAAAGUAAAUGUGCCGAGAUAGAACGAUUGAGCAACUAAUUUCAUUUCUAUAUAUUAUUAUAUGUAAACUUGACUUUCAGAUGUAAUGCAUUGGAUAUCCAGAUAAAGAAAGCAAGUGCACCAUAUCUGUAAGAACGUUCCAGAUGGCAAAAUUAUGAUACAAAUAUAGAUAUCUAACCCUAUCUAGAUAUUGAAAUAGACCAAAAGCCUCUGACUUCUUUUGCCCAUAGUAUUGUUUCAUUUAAUUCUUACCAAAUUUGCUGCAAUGUGAGAGCAUGUGGUGGUUAUGUUACAAUCGCUUGCUUAGAUACUUGGGCCUCACCAAACAUUCACUUCGGGGGCUAUCUCUAAUACUAUCGUCAAACUCAACAUGACAUGGUCUGCCUUUCAUACUCAGCUCUAUAUAUUUCUCCAUAAAAGAAGAAAACAAGAAAAAAUUAUCUUACUUUGAAAUUUUAGAAUUAUUUCCUUAUAGCUGAACAAUUAAUUUUGCUUCCUUGAUAGUGGGAGUUGUCUUCAAGUUUGGACUCAAAACUGGUAUAAGAGAAGGAAGGAAUACUUUCUUAGGCAUAAUAUUGUUUUCCUAUUCUCUUCUCAUUGCAAGAAACUAAAAUUCCAAUGUGGUGGAUAAACAGUGUGGUCACAGAUGGAUCAUUAGAAUCAGGAGGCCUUUGAUUUUGGCUCAACAAGAAGCUCUGCAAACUUAAAUGCCAGUUGGAUGAUAUACAUUUAAUUAUAGACCCUCAAGUGGAGGACAAAAAAUUAUGGAGGUGGGAAAGCAUUUACUUUAUGCUUAAAUUUUGUUAUUACAUUCUUAAUUUUGGUGGUUUAAAGUUCUUCUGUUGUGGUCAUGUUUAGAAAUGUUGUGCAGAGGAUUUUUUAUGAUUGGCUAUUAAUGUAUAGAAUGAAUGAAGGAUGGUUUGGUUAAGAGGGGUAAGGCAUGAGAUCUCAUGUGCUGCUUCUAUGGAAUGAAUGCUAUUGUGAAUCAUUUGCUUACAAGAUGCAGCCAAUCAAUUAUACAAGUUUCUUGAAAGAUUUUAUGUUCAGUUGAAUCCUGCAUCAGUCAUCAAAUGGUUCAAAGUUGCAUUAGAAGAGAAUUAAGGAGGUAAUGGAUGCUUGAUAAGGUUACUGCUACUUAAGUUGGAUUACAUAUAUGAAGUUGCAGAAAGUCCACUCAUCAGGUGUCUGUUUCUCAGGUAAAUGAUUAAAUCAUAUUAUUCAUCUUGGAUAGAUGCUGCUGCAGAUAAGAAUGAAAAACUUUUGGCAAAAGAUUAGUUGUUCUGUAGUUGGAUUCUCUUCUGGUGGCUAAUGAAGGCGACUGAUCCUGCUUUGGUUCUUGCUGCUGGUUCUGCCUUUGGAAGCUUGUUUUUUGAUGGGUUUUCUUUUCUGAUACCUGGCUGUAUCUGAAUUGACUUUUAUUUUGUCUUUGUUUUAUUGAUUUUUUUUAAUUAUUUAUUGAUCUUGCUCAUCUAAUGAGAACCUUUUGUAUCCCUUCUACAGUGGGAAAGUGAAGACAAGUGAGUGCUCCACUCUUCACAUCAGAAAAGGAUCAGCAUCUUCAGCUGCAGCUUGCUGAAUCAACCAUAUGUAUUGUCUGGACCAUCAAAUCUUCCGAAGGGCCCAUUGAUUCUGCACCUCCAAACUACUGUGACAGGCUGCACUCUUUGUGGUCACUACCUCAGAAUUCAGAAUUGUGGGAACAACAGGAAGAAGCAUACCAGGUGCAAAUGCAGACAUAUGCUAGUGAAGCAAGACCAGAAGAAAGUGGAAGACAUAGUGCUCAAUUAUUUCACCAUAGAGGAGACAGUGCACAUGUUCUUCCCCUUCUGGUGACUCAAUUCUUUUCUUCACAGAAAGAGAGCCAACAGCUGCUAGAAAGAUCAUGAGCUUUCCGACCGCAUUAGGAGUUUGCAAUGAUGGAUGCAUCUCUGCCUGGUGUUCCAGGAUUUCUACAUGAAUGUCAGGAGUCAUUAGCAGUUAGUUGAAUUAAAAGACCCAUAUAUGUUUGUGCCUCAUAUUCAAGCACAAAGACUUACACAGGUGUAUGUGACUUCAUUUCAUAACAAGAUUCACCUUCUGUGUAUGCUUUUACGACUUGGGCGAUUGAUUUAAUUAAAAGGAAGAGAAUUUAUUGUGAA
This is a long non-coding RNA of Musa acuminata AAA Group (dessert banana), 4153 nucleotides long. RefSeq lists it as uncharacterized. The transcript is spliced from 4 exons. NCBI's taxonomy places the organism in Eukaryota, Viridiplantae, Streptophyta, Magnoliopsida, Zingiberales, Musaceae. The record is from RefSeq and is a predicted model, not a curated record.